AUGGGGCGGGGAGGCGGGGAGGCGAGGGGAGUGGAAGGGAGGGAAGGGCGAGUGAGGCGCCGCCACCGCCGGCAACUUUGUGAGCGAGUUCAGUGCGUGCGUGAGCGAGUAAGCGAAAAAGUCAGUGCGGCGCCGACUUCCCGGGAGGAGGGUCCCCGGGGAGGGCCAGGGAGAGCGCGCGGCGGACGCGCCCCGGACGCGCGGUGGCACCGGGAGGCCGGGCAGAGCGGUUCGGUUUCAAAUGUGAAUGACAGUAAACUAAUAUCCCAGAUUCCUGUAUAAGAAGUAGAUCAAAAGGACUGUACUUUCAGGUUUUGAGAGAAUACCUCAGGUUGGACUCAAACGCAAGAUUUACCGGUGACUUUGAAGUGGAAUGAG
This 378-nucleotide long non-coding RNA is filed under the name Felis catus (domestic cat). Its description in RNAcentral is "lncRNA (ENSFCAG00000047074.1)". The record is from RNAcentral. Lineage: Eukaryota; Metazoa; Chordata; Mammalia; Carnivora; Felidae.